RNAcentral lists this microRNA precursor (87 nucleotides) under Dasypus novemcinctus (nine-banded armadillo). Its description in RNAcentral is "miRNA (ENSDNOG00000048072.1)". The record is from RNAcentral. Lineage: Eukaryota; Metazoa; Chordata; Mammalia; Cingulata; Dasypodidae.
UGUGGCAGCACUGUCUCUGGUCCCCCAGGCUGACCGCCCAGUGGAGCGUCGACGACGAGGAGGAGGCGGCACGGGAACGGCGCCGGC